RNAcentral lists this ribosomal RNA (1110 nucleotides) under Triticum aestivum (bread wheat). Its description in RNAcentral is "partial small subunit ribosomal RNA". The record is from RNAcentral. Lineage: Eukaryota; Viridiplantae; Streptophyta; Magnoliopsida; Poales; Poaceae.
AUGGCAGAAUUCUUCAGGUCAUUGAUCGUUACUGCCAAGACAAUUGCUACCAUGAUAAUUCAUCCCUCGCUUUGCAAGAUUGAGGAAUUGCUUGCAUGGAUGGAGUGCCCAAAUUGCAAAUACCGCAUUGAUAAUACUGAUGUUUUAUCACAGUGGCCAGGCCUCCCUGCUGGUGUUAAAUUCGAUCCAACUGAUCUCGAACUGCUUGAACAUUUAGAAGGAAAGGUUGGCAGGGUAGCGUCCCAUGUACUAAUAGAUGAUUUUAUUCCAACCAUAAAGGAGGCCCAAGGAAUCUGCUAUACACAUCCGGAAAAUCUCCCUGGUAUCAAGAUGGACGGGAGCACCGGUCACUUCUUCCACAAAGUAUCCAAUGCAUACGUUGUUGGCAAGCGUAAGCGUCGCAAGAUUAGCAACAGUGACCACACUGUUUGUGAUGAGAAUCUCAGAUGGCACAAGACUGGAAAAUCCAGAUCUAUCUUAGAUAAUAACGGUGUCAUAAAAGGGUGGAAGAAAAUAUUGGUUCUUUACAUAGGUUAUCGGAAAGGAGGUGGCAAGACAGAGAAAACUAAUUGGAGAAUGCAUCAGUACCACCUUGGGGUAGAUCAAGAUGAAAAGCAGGAGGAGCUUGUUGUUUCCAAAGUCUUUUAUCAGGUGCAGUCAAUGAAUGCUGGGCAGUCUCUAGUGUGCGGUGUUAAUGAAGAAUUCGAUUCAUUUGCUGGGGAAGACGAUCCUACAACCCCAAUGACAUACCCUCUGCAGACUCGUUGCCCAAACGGCAGCCCAUCCGGAACCGAGCAGAAUCAGGAGGAGGGAGAGUCCCGCGUGUCUACAGUUCGGGAAGCGGGGGAAUGGCUCGCUGGAAGCUCGUCGCAUGCCAUGGAUGACGCAGCGGUGUCUGGCCUGGAUGAACACCUGUCACACGGCAGAAUCCCGGAGGAGGCGCUCCUGGGGUUCCCCGACCUCGGAAUGCCUCCGGAUGUCUCCCUUCUCACCGACAUGCAGUUGGGGUCGCAGGAUAGCAUGGAGAUGUGGCUGGUUAGCGUGUUAACAGAGGAUGAGGGGGUAUUUGAAGCAGCGGAGCAACGAGAAGAGGCUGGUUUUUCUCCGUGA